CACACACAUACAUAUUUAUAGGCUCACUGGCAGCAACUCAUUUUGCCCAAGUCCCUCAAGAUGUUGCUCCUCUUCUUACUUGCACUCCUCAAUUUCAACCCAUCUCUUAGCCUAAAACUUUGUUCCUUCAAUGUGAGGUCUUUUGGAGAAACCAAAAUAGCCAGACCCGAAGUCGUCGACGCCGUGGUAAAGAUCAUUUCUCGCUGUGACAUCAUGUUGCUGAUGGAAAUAAAGGACAACAAGAACCGUGUUUGUCCUCUCCUGGUGGAGAAGCUCACCAGUCACCUGAAGGAGCCAGAGGAGGAAUACAGGUGCAUUGCCAGCCAGAGGCUGGGCAGGAACAGCUACAAGGAGCAGUACAUCUUCAUCUACAGGCAACAUCUGGUAUCGGUGAAACAAACCUACCAGUACCCUGACACCCAGCCUGGGGACGAGGAUGUCUUCUCCAGAGAGCCCUUUGUCAUCUGGUUCCAGUCUCCAAAAACCGCUGUCAGUGAGUUUGCUAUAAUCCCUCUGCACACCACACCAGACACUGCAGUGCGGGAGAUUGAUGAGCUCUACGAUGUGUAUUUAGAUGUCAAACAGCGCUGGAAAACCGAGAACUUCAUCUUCAUGGGAGACUUCAAUGCUGGAUGUGGCUAUGUUCCCCUAAAGCACUGGAAGAACAUCCGGCUGAGGACUGACUCUGAAUUCAUCUGGCUGAUUGGUGACAAAAAUGACACGACAGUGAAGAGCAGCACAAACUGCCCAUAUGACAGGAUCGUAGUCAGCGGGCAGAAGCUCAUCCACGCUGUCGUGCCACACUCUGCCACUAUCUUUGAUUUCCAGAAGGACUUUCAGAUGACUGAGGAACAGGCACUGGGGGUGAGCGACCAUUUCCCGAUAGAGUUUGAGUUAAAAGCAAAAGGUGGCUUCUUCAACUGGCUGAGAUCAAAGUUUUCAAGGAAGAGGAGGCCAAGGAAGAGCCUUCAGUCAAGACCAUGACCGUGCUGAGUCCUCAUCCAUGGCGUGGAAAUACACAAAUGCCAACAGAUCUCGUAGAAGACUGGUAAAUAAACCAGCUAGAAGCAGCAUACUCUACUUACUGUACCUGUUGGAAAUUGAGUUGCUUCGGGGUGCACAAGAAGUUGUGAGGGGAGAUCAGACCCCCAGUGACACAAGGGAUAUCCCACACCAUAUGGAGACACACAGCACACAGAGCUCGGGGAAGAAGAAGGAACAAGAGGACUUUGGGAGUAAUGGUGUUUGUCUUCCCCAGUAACCAUUACGUGCGAUGGAGCCCAGAUUUCCUGGGGGUGGCUGAACACCUGCCUGCCCAUGGGAAGCAGUGAAUGAAUGCCU
This is an RNA transcript of Myiozetetes cayanensis, 1341 nucleotides long. It is a transcript of the gene named deoxyribonuclease 1 like 3, with no coding region annotated. The transcript has 10 exons. The record is from RefSeq and is a predicted model, not a curated record. NCBI's taxonomy places the organism in Eukaryota, Metazoa, Chordata, Aves, Passeriformes, Tyrannidae.